Rhododendron vialii is the source of this 1139-nucleotide long non-coding RNA. RefSeq lists it as uncharacterized. Lineage: Eukaryota; Viridiplantae; Streptophyta; Magnoliopsida; Ericales; Ericaceae. The record is from RefSeq and is a predicted model, not a curated record. The transcript has 2 exons.
AGAGAGAGAGAGAGAGAGAGACGACAGAAGAGAAGGAAGAGGAGGCCAGAGACUCUGGUCUGUUCUUUACGAAAUUAUUCAAGGUAACAAGCCAGUCAAUUGGGGAGGUUCCGAAAUCGUAAGUUUGGCAUACCUCGGUCGAUACAAAAGUGAGUGUUUUUGAUAUGGUUUUUCUCCAUAUAAUACUGUUGUGGUAGUGGGUGUAUAUCUUGCUAAUUGUAGCUAGCUUUUGAUAUGGUUAUCCUUACUGAGAUAUUGCUGUAAUGGUGAGUGUAUAUCAUGCUACUGUUGUUUAGCUUUGAUAUGCUGUGAAUGUGUGCGUGUGAGGCACACCAUGUCGUAAGCCAUAUUGUUCAAUGGACGAUGGUUGGGAGCAUGGUGUGUGGGACACGAGAUUUGGUUGUGCUAUGCGUAUUUGAUGAAAAUACAUGCUUAUGGGUGCUGAUUGAACCGCCGAAAGUUAAUGUGUGAGGCAUACUAUGUCGUAUGCCAUGCCGGCUAAUUGUUGGUGGAUGGGAGCAUGGUAUGUGGGACACCUUAUCUUGGGUUCAUGGGAUAUGGCAGACGUGUCACUGCAUGUGAUGUGAUUACAGUCAUAUUGUUGUGCAUUGAUUAUUAUUGCUCAGUUGGGUGGAUAUGUUGGUUAUAACUGUUAUAUACAUUCUAGUAUUUCAGUUACAUUGGUGAUGUGUAUUCAUGUUGAUAUUCCUUCGGGUAUUGUGGUAUUAUGUUGAGCAUUUCUAUAUCUCACACAUUCUGGCUUUCCUUUUUGGUUUGCCAGGUAGCAGGUUGCUUAGAGUUGGUCCACUACCGGUUGUCGUGUUGAUGCGUUUUGCUAGCGUCAGGUGGGAUUUUGGUUACAUUGUUGUGGAGUGCCUUGGUUGGUGCAGAACUUAAUUUGUAAGGAGUUGUAACUAAGGGUAGUUAAAGGUUUUAAAUUGUAUAGGUCGUAAUUAAGUUUGGUCGAUGGCUAGUGUUUUAUUUGAGGUUAGCCUUGGACGUUGUGGAUAGUCGAGUUUGUUGUAGGUGGUUGAUGAAGAAGUUGGUUUAUUCAAGUUGUAAGUAAGUCGUCGGUGGAUGUGUUGAAGUAUAGAAUUUUUAAAGUACUAUAAUACAGAUGUUGUUUCUUGGUUGUGCGA